CCAGGUUUCCAUCAGGCUGCAGAACUGGGCUGACAUCAGAAUCCAAACAUCCUCUGGUCAGUGCAAACAGAGGCAUUCCUCUAAUGAUUUGGACUUUAUGU
Long non-coding RNA from Gopherus evgoodei (Goodes thornscrub tortoise), 101 nucleotides. RefSeq lists it as uncharacterized. The transcript has 3 exons. The record is from RefSeq and is a predicted model, not a curated record. Lineage: Eukaryota; Metazoa; Chordata; Testudines; Testudinidae.